Molecule: ribosomal RNA, 774 nt
Filed under: uncultured Neocallimastigales
Lineage: Eukaryota; Fungi; Neocallimastigomycota; Neocallimastigomycetes; Neocallimastigales
Description: partial large subunit ribosomal RNA
Rfam family: Eukaryotic large subunit ribosomal RNA
Source: RNAcentral
CGCAUCUGUGCAUGCAGCAUAUCAAUAAGCGGAGGAAAAGAAACUAACAAGGAUUCCCCUAGUAACGGCGAGUGAAGCGGGAAGAGCUCAAAUUUGAAAUCUUAAAGGGUUUCCCUUUACGAAUUGUAGUUUAAAGAAGUGUUUUCUGUUGAGGUUUUGGUAAAAGUUCUUUGGAAUAGGACAUCAUAGAGGGUGAGAAUCCCGUAUUUGACCUUUACUUUCAACUUUGUGAUACACUUUCAAAGAGUCGGAUUGUUUGGGAAUGCAGUCCAAAAUGGGUGGUAAAUUUCAUCUAAAGCUAAAUAUUGGCGAGAGACCGAUAGCGAACAAGUACCGUGAGGGAAAGAUGAAAAGAACUUUGAAAAGAGAGUUAAACAGUACGUGAAAUUGUCAAAAGGGAAGCGUUUGACACCAGUGUUGUUUUUCUGAAAAUCAAUUAAAGAACUGUUUAUGCUAAGCUGUUUAGACUUUAUCAGCUAACUGUUUAGUUUUGAGCUUUUCUUUAAUGCACUUUUCAGUUAACAAGUCAACAUCAAUUUCUUUUGCUGUAAAAAAGCUUGAGGAAGGUGGCUUGAGAUUCGUCUUAAGUGUUUAUAGCCUCUUGCCUAUGCAGUCGGAGAGAUUGAGGUCUGCAGCGUAGAUCCUUCGGGGCUAAAUGCAUUUGUGCUAAGUUAUAGCAUUUUAUAGACAACUUGUUGACUAUGAUUUGUCUUGUAGCUUACUCGCUUAUGUUAUUUUACCUACGCUUAGGAUGUUGAGCGCAUGUCUCUCUCU